GCCUAAAGCGUCCGUAGCCGGCUCUGUUAGUUUUCGGUUAAAUCCAUAUGCUCAACAUAUGGGCCGCCGGGAAUACUGCAAAGCUAGGGAGUGGGAGAGGUAGACGGUACUCCGUAGGAAGGGGUAAAAUCCUUUGAUCUAUGGAUGACCACCAGUGGCGAAGGCGGUCUACCAGAACACGUUCGACGGUGAGGGAUGAAAGCUGGGGGAGCAAACCGGAUUAGAUACCCGGGUAGUCCCAGCUGUAAACUAUGCAAACUCAGUGAUGCAUUGGCUUGUGGCCAGUGCAGUGCCGCAGAGAAGUCGUUAAGUUUGCCGCCUGGGAAGUACGUACGCAAGUAUGAAACUUAAAGGAAUUGGCGGGGGAGCACCACAAGGGGUGAAGCCUGCGGUUCAAUUGGAGUCAACGCCAGAAAUCUUACCCGGAGAGACAGCAGAAUGAAGGUCAAGUUGAAGCCUUUACCAGACAAGCUGAGAAGUGGUGCAUGGCCGUCGCCAGCUCGUGCCGUGAGGUGUCCUGUUAAGUCAGGUAACGAGCGAGAUCCUUGCCUCUAGUUGCUACCAUUACUCUCAGGAGUAGUGGGGCGAAUUAGCGGGACUGCCGUAGUUAAUACGGAGGAAGGAGAGGGCCACGGCAGGUCAGUAUGCCCCGAA
RNAcentral lists this ribosomal RNA (654 nucleotides) under uncultured archaeon. RNAcentral describes it as "bacterial SSU rRNA". It matches the Rfam family "Archaeal small subunit ribosomal RNA", at positions 508 to 1160 of the family's 1478-position model. The record is from RNAcentral.